RNAcentral lists this transfer RNA (73 nucleotides) under Stegodyphus mimosarum. It matches the Rfam family "tRNA". Rfam says of the family: Transfer RNA (tRNA) molecules are approximately 80 nucleotides in length. Their secondary structure includes four short double-helical elements and three loops (D, anti-codon, and T loops). The record is from Rfam by way of RNAcentral. Lineage: Eukaryota; Metazoa; Arthropoda; Arachnida; Araneae; Eresidae.
GCUUUCGUGGUGUAAUGGUAAGCACACUCGAUGCGUACUCGAGAAGUCCGUGGUUCGAGUCCCGGCCAGGGCA